This 502-nucleotide ribosomal RNA is filed under the name uncultured bacterium. RNAcentral's name for it is "partial 16S ribosomal RNA". It matches the Rfam family "Bacterial small subunit ribosomal RNA", at positions 28 to 507 of the family's 1533-position model. The record is from RNAcentral.
GACGAACGCUGGCGGCGUGCUUAACACAUGCAAGUCGAACGGUGAAGGGGCCUGCUUUUGUGGGCCCUGGAUGAGUGGCGAACGGGUGAGUAACACGUGAGUAACCUGCCCCCUUCUUCUGGAUAACCGCAUGAAAGUGUGGCUAAUACGGGAUAUUCUGGGUCUGUCGCAUGAUGGGUCUGGGAAAGAUUGCGCCUUUGGGUGUUUUUGGUGGGGGAUGGGCUCGCGGCCUAUCAGCUUGUUGGUGGGGUGAUGGCCUACCAAGGCGGUGACGGGUAGCCGGCCUGAGAGGGUGGACGGUCACACUGGGACUGAGACACGGACCAGACUCCUACGGGAGGCAGCAGUGGGGAAUAUUGCACAAUGGGCGCAAGCCUGAUGCAGCGACGCCGCGUGAGGGAUGGAGGCCUUCGGGUUGUAAACCUCUUUCGCCAGUGAAGCAGGCCUGCUCCUUGUGGGUGGGUUGACGGUAGCUGGAUAAGAAGCGCCGGCUAACUACGUG